RNAcentral lists this ribosomal RNA (1369 nucleotides) under uncultured bacterium. RNAcentral's name for it is "bacterial SSU rRNA". It matches the Rfam family "Bacterial small subunit ribosomal RNA", at positions 28 to 1381 of the family's 1533-position model. The record is from RNAcentral.
GACGAACGCUGGCGGCGUGCCUAAUACAUGCAAGUAGAACGCUGAAGAGGGGAGCUUGCUCUUCUUGGAUGAGUUGCGAACGGGUGAGUAACGCGUAGGUAACCUGCCUUGUAGCGGGGGAUAACUAUUGGAAACGAUAGCUAAUACCGCAUAACAAUGGAUGACACAUGUCAUUUAUUUGAAAGGGGCAAUUGCUCCACUACAAGAUGGACCUGCGUUGUAUUAGCUAGUAGGUGAGGUAAUGGCUCACCUAGGCGACGAUACAUAGCCGACCUGAGAGGGUGAUCGGCCACACUGGGACUGAGACACGGCCCAGACUCCUACGGGAGGCAGCAGUAGGGAAUCUUCGGCAAUGGGGGCAACCCUGACCGAGCAACGCCGCGUGAGUGAAGAAGGUUUUCGGAUCGUAAAGCUCUGUUGUAAGUCAAGAACGGGUGUGAGAGUGGAAAGUUCACACUGUGACGGUAGCUUACCAGAAAGGGACGGCUAACUACGUGCCAGCAGCCGCGGUAAUACGUAGGUCCCGAGCGUUGUCCGGAUUUAUUGGGCGUAAAGCGAGCGCAGGCGGUUUGAUAAGUCUGAAGUUAAAGGCUGUGGCUCAACCAUAGUUCGCUUUGGAAACUGUCAAACUUGAGUGCAGAAGGGGAGAGUGGAAUUCCAUGUGUAGCGGUGAAAUGCGUAGAUAUAUGGAGGAACACCGGUGGCGAAAGCGGCUCUCUGGUCUGUAACUGACGCUGAGGCUCGAAAGCGUGGGGAGCGAACAGGAUUAGAUACCCUGGUAGUCCACGCCGUAAACGAUGAGUGCUAGGUGUUGGAUCCUUUCCGGGAUUCAGUGCCGCAGCUAACGCAUUAAGCACUCCGCCUGGGGAGUACGACCGCAAGGUCGAAACUCAAAGGAAUUGACGGGGGCCCGCACAAGCGGUGGAGCAUGUGGUUUAAUUCGAAGCAACGCGAAGAACCUUACCAGGUCUUGACAUCCCGAUGCUAUUUCUAGAGAUAGAAAGUUACUUCGGUACAUCGGUGACAGGUGGUGCAUGGUUGUCGUCAGCUCGUGUCGUGAGAUGUUGGGUUAAGUCCCGCAACGAGCGCAACCCCUAUUGUUAGUUGCCAUCAUUCAGUUGGGCACUCUAGCGAGACUGCCGGUAAUAAACCGGAGGAAGGUGGGGAUGACGUCAAAUCAUCAUGCCCCUUAUGACCUGGGCUACACACGUGCUACAAUGGUUGGUACAACGAGUUGCGAGUCGGUGACGGCGAGCUAAUCUCUUAAAGCCAAUCUCAGUUCGGAUUGUAGGCUGCAACUCGCCUACAUGAAGUCGGAAUCGCUAGUAAUCGCGGAUCAGCACGCCGCGGUGAAUACGUUCCCGGGCCU